AGACAACAAUGUGCAGCCAUUAACUGCAGCAGGUGCCCUUGGCUGCCCAGCCAGCACCAGGGAAGUUCUCCUCUGGUCUAAGGAGACUUGUGGCAGCAUCACUGUUUCCAUUACCAGGGAGGCUGUUGCUAUGGACACCUGGCCAGUGCAAAUGAUACAUGAAGGAUGAGGGCCAAAAAAGGAGGAAGGAAAAAGAAACCUGAAGAUAAGUGUGUUUUGAAAUCUUGCCAGGAAGCUUUUCCUUAAAAAAAAAAAAAAAAGAAAAAAGAAAAAGAAAAAAAAGAAGGUAUUUUAAUAGCUUUUUAUUUUUAUUCAUCAUGCCAGUUAGCUUGAGUUUAUGCUGCGGCACUUUCAUUAGAAAUUCCCAGAGACUUCAAAUCCUCCACCUUGCAUCCUGGAAGAAUGACUUGCAGCUUUUUGUAAAAUUGGCAAGCAGCCUCAUGGCUUUAAUAUGGGAGUGACUUUAACCUCUUCUUUCUCCUUCGCACUCUCUCUUUCCAUUUCACCCCCUUCUUCCCCCAGAUAAAUUAUACUGCUGAUUUACUUGGGAACUGAAUAAUAGGAGGCGAAAAGAAGGAAAUAAAAUUAAUGACAUUUACUUUCACAGCUCUGUGACUCAGGAUAACUGGAAAAGGGCUUUGUACUGGCAGACUGAAGUCACAUCAGUUUGAUGUCACCAGAUCAAGUCACUCGCACAAGCAGAAGUAAUGAUAUCAGACCUCUCUCUUCUUCUGGAAAGGCAUGGGUCUUUGGAAGGGAGACUCCCCCUGCACCUGCUUCAUUCUCCUUCUUUCCUCAUACAUGCAGUGUCCUCUGCUGGACUGAUGUUCACAAGACUUCCUGGAACAGUGGUUCCUCACUGAGGAUGCAUAGGGGGAAUGUGCAGGACCAGAAUAUGCAGCACUGUUUUCCCUGGGGUAAAUUAGAGGAUUCCAGGCUGGGGCUCCUUUAAUUUAUCCCUGGGGCCAUGCUGGAACUUUAGCAGUCCAGGCUUAAAGAGGUGGUAGGUGAAGAAAGAUGGCAUUUUCCACCUCUGGCCCCCACAUCCCUUCUCAGGUGUGCUGAGCUCAGGCACAAGGGGUUGGUCCAAGCCCUGCAUGCUCUUUGCCCC
This 1111-nucleotide long non-coding RNA is filed under the name Crocodylus porosus (Australian saltwater crocodile). RNAcentral describes it as "lncRNA (ENSCPRG00005004957.1)". The record is from RNAcentral. Lineage: Eukaryota; Metazoa; Chordata; Crocodylia; Crocodylidae.